RNAcentral lists this ribosomal RNA (443 nucleotides) under uncultured bacterium. Its description in RNAcentral is "SSU rRNA". It matches the Rfam family "Bacterial small subunit ribosomal RNA", at positions 26 to 518 of the family's 1533-position model. The record is from RNAcentral.
AGAGCGAACGCUGGCGGCAGGCCUAACACAUGCAAGUCGAGCGCCCCGCAAGGGGAGCGGCAGACGGGAGAGUAACACGUGGGAACGUACCCUUCAGUUCGGAACAACCCAGGGAAACUUGGGCUAAUACCGAAUACGUCCGUAAGGAGAAAGAUUUAUCGCUGAAGGAUCGGCCCGCGUCUGAUUAGCUUGUUGGUGAGGUAAUGGCUCACCAAGGCUACGAUCAGUAGCUGGUCUGAGAGGAUGAUCAGCCUCACUGGGACUGAGACACGGCCCAGACUCCUACGGGAGGCAGCAGUGGGGAAUAUUGGACAAUGGGCGCAAGCCUGAUCCAGCCAUGCCGCGUGGGUGAUGAAGGCCCUAGGGUUGUAAAGCCCGUUUCGGCGGGAAGAUAAUGACGGUACCCGCAGAAGAAGCCCGGCUAACUUCGUGCCAGCAGCCGC